GACGAACGCUGGCGGCGUGCUUAACACAUGCAAGUCGAACGAAGAGCGACGGAAGCUUGCUUCUAUCAAUCUUAGUGGCGAACGGGUGAGGAACGCGUAAUCAACCUGCCCUUCAGAGGGGGACAACAGUUGGAAACGACUGCUAAUACCGCAUACGAUCUAAUCUCGGCAUCGAGGAUGGAUGAAAGGUGGCCUCUACAUGUAAGCUAUCACUGAAGGAGGGGAUUGCGUCUGAUUAGCUAGUUGGAGGGGUAACGGCCCACCAAGGCGAUGAUCAGUAGCCGGUCUGAGAGGAUGAACGGCCACAUUGGGACUGAGACACGGCCCAGACUCCUACGGGAGGCAGCAGUGGGGAAUCUUCCGCAAUGGACGAAAGUCUGACGGAGCAACGCCGCGUGAGUGAUGACGGCCUUCGGGUUGUAAAGCUCUGUUAAUCGGGACGAAAGGCCUUCUUGCGAAUAGUGAGAAGGAUUGACGGUACCGGAAUAGAAAGCCACGGCUAACUACGUG
RNAcentral lists this ribosomal RNA (510 nucleotides) under uncultured bacterium. RNAcentral's name for it is "partial 16S ribosomal RNA". It matches the Rfam family "Bacterial small subunit ribosomal RNA", at positions 28 to 507 of the family's 1533-position model. The record is from RNAcentral.